AUAAAAAAAAAUUAAAAUGAUAAUUUUAAUAAAAAUAAUUUUAUAAUUAUAUUUAAUGGGGGUUAAAUUAUAAUUUAUAGAAAAAAUUUUUAUUUUUAUAGUGAAUUAGUAUUGUGAAAGAAAUUUGAAAUAUAUGAAAAAUUUAUAUAAUAAAAGUAGUUUUAAGUUAAUGUAUCUUGUGUAUCAGAGUUUAUUAAUUAAAUAAUUUAAAUAAAUUAUUCUCGAAUUUAAAAGAGUUAAUUAUUUAUAAAAUUUAUUGUGGUAUAAAUAUUUUUAAUAAAUAAUUUGAAAUGAAAUGUUAUUCGUUUUUAAAUAUAUCUAGUUUUUUUAGAAAUAAAUUAAAUUUAAAAUUUAAUUAAUUAAGAAAUUAAUUAAUUUAAUUUUUUAAAAUUAAAUUAAAAUAAUUUAAGGGAUAAGCUUUAAGUUAAAUUGUUAUAAUAAUAAUAAAUUAUGGUAAAAUUUUUAAAAAUUAAAUUUUUUAAAAAUUUUAGUUUUUUAUAAAUAAUUUUAUUAAAAAUAAAAUUUUAUUAAUUAUUUAAAUUUUUAUAAAAAAAAAUUUUUUAAUGGGGGAAAAAUUUUUAUAAUGAUAAAAUUAGUAUAUAAAAUGUUUAUAUUUUUUUUUUUUAAAAAAAAAUUUUUUAAAGGAAUUCGACAAAAAUUUAUUUUUACCUGUUUAUCAAAAACAUGUCUUUUAGAAAAUAAUUUAAAGUCUAAUCUGCCCACUGAUAAAUUAUUAAAGGGCUGCAGUAUUUUGACUGUACAAAGGUAGCAUAAUCAGUAGUCUUUUAAUUGAAGACUUGUAUGAAAGAUUGGAUAAAAAAUAUAUUGUCUCUAAAAAAUAAUUAAAAUUUAAUUUUUUAGUUAAAAAGCUAAAAUUUUUUUAAAAGACGAGAAGACCCUAUAGAGUUUUAUAGAAAAUAAUAUUAAAAUUAUAUUUAUAUUUUAAAUAAAAAUUUUAUUUAUAUUUUGUUGGGGUGAUAAAAAAAUUUGUAUAACUUUUUUUAUAUGAAUCAUGAAUAAAUGAAUAUAUGAUCCAAAAUUUUUGAUUAUAAGAUUAAAUUACCUUAGGGAUAACAGCGUAAUUUUUUUUUUUAGUUCUUAUAAAAAAAAAAGUUUGCGACCUCGAUGUUGGAUUAAGAUAAAAUUUAAAUGCAGAAGUUUAAAAUUUUGAUCUGUUCGAUCAUUAAAAUCUUACAUGAUCUGAGUUCAAACCGGUGUAAGCCAGGUUGGUUUCUAUCUUUAAUAAAUUAUAAUAUUUUAGUACGAAAGGAUUGAAUAUUAAAAAUAAUUUUUAUUAACAUGAAUUUUAUUAAUAUUUAU
This 1320-nucleotide ribosomal RNA is filed under the name Stomphastis thraustica. RNAcentral describes it as "16S ribosomal RNA". The record is from RNAcentral. Lineage: Eukaryota; Metazoa; Arthropoda; Insecta; Lepidoptera; Gracillariidae.